GCAAAAUUCAUAAAUUUCUCAAUUUCUCAAUCAAUUUUUGCAUUAUAAGUUAUUUCUCAUAAAAUCUCGGUCUGUAUCGAUCUAAGACCUAAGUACUAAAUUCACAUAAAUCUCAUAAUAAUCACUUAAUUUAUACAAUAUAAUUCAUAAAGAGAUGCUAAGAACAUGGUAAUCGACCUACUUAAUCACAGUGUUGCGGGGAAUGUUUCGGUAUAGCCAAAAAACUACUUGCAUUUCUCCUUCUUUUUUUCCUUGUUGUUGCGUUCAAAACUGGCAAGACAAGAGGAAACUGGAACUAAAAUGACGAGAGAAGGUUAGAGAUGGCGAAAAGUUAAUGAGAAGUCCCAUUUGCACCCAUCAAUUGGCAAUGAGGAACGAGUACAGCGAGGUGGCAACGCUGUUGAAAGAAGCUGAGCGUUUAUGCAUAUGAGAGAGAGAGAGAGAGAGAGAGAGAGAGAGAGAGAGAGCAGUGCCGAAAAAUACAAUAGAUAGCAUGAUUAGUGGCUGGGUUGAUGUGGUUGUCAAUCAGUGGUGAUGGGGCAGUCGACGGUGAAAGAGAGAAGGAAAAGAAAGAAAUGAAAAAAGAAAGAGGAAGAGAGUAAUCGAGAGACAGAGAGGGGUGAGUCGGAAAUCUUGUUUUCCAUGUCAAAUGCCAUGUAUGAAAAAGUGGGACUCAAAAUAAUGUCAUGUCAUGUUUCUGAUUAUUUCUGGGCAGAAACUUGCGUGAGUCAUUUUUGUUUUACA
RNAcentral lists this long non-coding RNA (744 nucleotides) under Jatropha curcas. RNAcentral's name for it is "long non-coding RNA (JCUR_LNC002210)". The record is from RNAcentral. Lineage: Eukaryota; Viridiplantae; Streptophyta; Magnoliopsida; Malpighiales; Euphorbiaceae.